GGAGGGAGGUCGGAUCCCGGGCUGUGUCCCGGCGCUCUGGGCUCCCGGGCCUGCGCUGUUGGAUUCGGGCUCCUGGCCGUGCAGCCGCCU
Canis lupus familiaris (dog) is the source of this 90-nucleotide non-coding RNA. NCBI's taxonomy places the organism in Eukaryota, Metazoa, Chordata, Mammalia, Carnivora, Canidae. The record is from Rfam.